GGCGCGGUGGCGGAAUUAGGCAGACGCAGAGGACUUAAAAUCCUCCGGGUUCACACCCUUGUGGGUUCGAGUCCCACCCGCGCUA
Molecule: transfer RNA, 85 nt
Filed under: Anaerolineaceae bacterium
Lineage: Bacteria; Bacillati; Chloroflexota; Anaerolineae; Anaerolineales; Anaerolineaceae
Also listed under: 2 other names
Description: tRNA-Leu
Rfam family: tRNA
About the family: Transfer RNA (tRNA) molecules are approximately 80 nucleotides in length.
Source: RNAcentral